CGCGGAGUGGAGCAGUUUGGCAGCUCGUCGGGCUCAUAACCCGAAGGUCACAGGUUCGAGUCCUGUCUCCGCAACCA
RNAcentral lists this transfer RNA (77 nucleotides) under Mycoplasmopsis edwardii. RNAcentral describes it as "tRNA-Met". It matches the Rfam family "tRNA". From Rfam's summary of the family: Transfer RNA (tRNA) molecules are approximately 80 nucleotides in length. Their secondary structure includes four short double-helical elements and three loops (D, anti-codon, and T loops). Further hydrogen bonds mediate the characteristic L-shaped molecular structure. tRNAs have two regions of fundamental functional importance: the anti-codon, which is responsible for specific mRNA codon recognition, and the 3' end, to which the tRNAs corresponding amino acid is attached (by aminoacyl-tRNA synthetases). tRNAs cope with the degeneracy of the genetic code in two manners: having more than one tRNA (with a specific anti-codon) for a particular amino acid; and 'wobble' base-pairing, i.e. permitting non-standard base-pairing at the 3rd anti-codon position. RNAcentral also lists the same sequence under 2 other names. Lineage: Bacteria; Bacillati; Mycoplasmatota; Mycoplasmoidales; Metamycoplasmataceae. The record is from RNAcentral.